UAAGUGUAUUCUUCAUUUGAGUAUCCUGAAAACGGGCUUUUCAGCAUGAGAAUACAGUUAAUUAGUAAUAGGAGUGCAUAGUGGCCCGUAUAGCAGGCAUUAACAUUCCUGAU
Molecule: regulatory RNA element, 113 nt
Rfam family: Alpha operon ribosome binding site
About the family: The bacterial alpha operon ribosome binding site is surrounded by this complex pseudoknotted structure. Translation of the mRNA produces 4 ribosomal protein products, one of which (S4) acts as a translational repressor by binding to the nested pseudoknot region.
Source: Rfam